GGGAUAUGCAAAGCUUUAGCACGCUGUUCAUCACGGCUCAAGUUUCUAUCUGUGUCUUCAAGGUAUCUACUCCUUAUCUUCUGUGACUUCCCAGGCCACGGAAAAGGUUCAGAAGUAGAUUCUGGUGCAGUUGGCUGUAAGUGGAACAGGACACACUGGCACAUCCUUUUCCCACCAAACCACAGAAAAACAUUUUUAAGUGAAGGUUGAAGAAAUGGCAAUUUACAGAUGCCAGAAGAAAGGAUAAAAAUCAAGGCAAGAUAAGAAAAAAGGAGGCUGAUGUUCUGCUGGUCCACUUGGUUUACUGGCUUCUCUGUCUGAUUGUGCCUAACUCUGACACUGUGCCUUCCCUCUAGACACUGUAGAUGAUGUUUAGUCCUAGCUCAAUCAGUCUCUCCCUUUGCACAUUUCCGUUACAACCCUGCUCAUGUGCUCAAGAUAUUGCUCCUGCUACUCUCCCCUCUCUUCUGCAUCAACAGUUCUUUCUCAUCUACUGGACAAUUCGCAUCAGCCUACUAUCAUACACAAAUACCCCCACCUUUAAAAACCCCUCCCUUGGUCCCACACUAGUCUUCAGAUUCCAUCCCAUUUUUUGCUCCCCUUGACAGCAAAAACCUCCAAAGAGUAUCUGUACUCAGUGUAUUUUCUCUUCACCCAUCAGCAAAAUUUGACUUAGUUACCAUCUCCUCCUGGAAACAGCUUCUUCACCUGGCAUCCAAGUACCUCUCUAUUCUCCUACCUCAUCAAGAACUUCUGCUUUGCUGAUUCUUCAUCCCCUUGAUAUCCAAACAUAGCAAUGUCCCAAGGCUCAGUUCUCAGGUCCACCAAGCACUCUCCCACUUCACAGCCCUUGUAUUUGCAGCCCUUUCUGCCUGUAAGCUCUCUCAACCCUCUUAUCCUCCUGACCCCAGGUCUCUUCAAAUAUUUACCAUCUCAGUUUUC
RNAcentral lists this long non-coding RNA (942 nucleotides) under Homo sapiens (human). RNAcentral's name for it is "non-protein coding lnc-HNRNPA2B1-14:1". The record is from RNAcentral. Lineage: Eukaryota; Metazoa; Chordata; Mammalia; Primates; Hominidae.